Molecule: long non-coding RNA, 944 nt
Organism: Megalobrama amblycephala (Wuchang bream)
Lineage: Eukaryota; Metazoa; Chordata; Actinopteri; Cypriniformes; Xenocyprididae
Exons: 3
Source: RefSeq, a predicted model, not a curated record
AUUUGCAGUAACUUUUUCAAGUCAAGUGAUGACAAUAGAAGGAAAUCUAUCAUUGACCAGCUUUGUUCUCAUUGUCUGCAGCCAAUGACUGCAUGUUAAUCGAGAUCCAUGUCAAGACUACAUCACACAAAGAAUUCGAAAUACCUGGCAAGGGAUAAAUGAAAACUCUUCAAGUAGAAGUUGCCCUUGUGUCAGACCUGCAGCGUGUGUGAUGUCAGACGGCUUCAGACAGGCUUUAAAACUUCUGCACCUGAAUCAUUCUCUCCUGGGAGCUGGAGGCGGCCUAUCGAAAGCAAUUUUACUCAGAUAACCCGGCAAACAGCCAGUGAGCCAUCAAAGAUUAUUCCCAAAGCAAUAAGCUUUAUCUGUUCACCGAAAAACAGAUUACAAAAGCCUGUAAAUGCUUCAUCACAGCUUAUCACACAAACAUUGUACAGAUCACAGCCAUCGAUUCUAAUGGAAAGACACUUGGAGAGGCUGAACUGGAGAGCAGAAGACGUCAAUAUGAGCAGGAGGAAGUAAUUAAAACAGGUAAUCCCUGAUGGCACGAGGUGUUGAUUCUUGCUCGUGCAUGAAUCUGCGGUUUUCACUUGGCUAUAUUUAGCGUCGUCUGAUUGUUUCUGAGGCUCUGGGACACUGCUGGCAUCCGUUGUAUUCGUCUCUGCCCGGACAUUACAUUUCUAAUUUAUGUUUUGGCCUCCAGAGACAGACUGAAGGUAUUUAUUAAUUUGUGAGCUUUGCACAUGAAAUGUACCAUAAUACUGUGUCUGAAUCAUCUGUGACCUCUUCUGGCAUGUACGGAAGCUCACUCUUUGGCAUCUGUCACAUAUUAUGCUGAUCUUAUGACUGUGUAUCUUAUAGGGAUAAUUCACCCAAAUAUGAAAAUUCUGUCAUCAUUUACUCACCCUUAUUUCAUUCCAAAUCAGUAUGACUUUGUCUUUGUG